Molecule: ribosomal RNA, 501 nt
Filed under: uncultured bacterium
Lineage: Bacteria
Description: partial 16S ribosomal RNA
Rfam family: Bacterial small subunit ribosomal RNA
Source: RNAcentral
AUUGAACGCUGGCGGCAGGCUUAACACAUGCAAGUCGAGCGGGGUGAUGGUGCUUGCACUAUCACUUAGCGGCGGACGGGUGAGUAAUGCUUAGGAAUCUGCCUAUUAGUGGGGGACAACAUCUCGAAAGGGAUGCUAAUACCGCAUACGUCCUACGGGAGAAAGCAGGGGAUCUUCGGACCUUGCGCUAAUAGAUGAGCCUAAGUCGGAUUAGCUAGUUGGUGGGGUAAAGGCCUACCAAGGCGACGAUCUGUAGCGGGUCUGAGAGGAUGAUCCGCCACACUGGGACUGAGACACGGCCCAGACUCCUACGGGAAGCGGCAGUGGGGAAUAUUGGACAAUGGGGGGAACCCUGAUCCAGCCAUGCCGCGUGUGUGAAGAAGGCCCUAUGGUUGUAAAGCACUUUAAGCGAGGAGGAGGCUACUUUAGUUAAUACCUAGAGAUAGUGGACGUUACUCGCAGAACAAGCACCGGCUAACUCUGUGCCAGCAGCCGCCGCAG